RNAcentral lists this ribosomal RNA (253 nucleotides) under uncultured bacterium. Its description in RNAcentral is "partial 16S ribosomal RNA". It matches the Rfam family "Bacterial small subunit ribosomal RNA", at positions 524 to 776 of the family's 1533-position model. The record is from RNAcentral.
UACAGAGGAUGCAAGCGUUAUCCGGAAUGAUUGGGCGUAAAGCGUCUGUAGGUGGCUUUUUAAGUCCGCCGUCAAAUCCCAGGGCUCAACUCUGGACAGGCGGUGGAAACUACCAAGCUGGAGUACGGUAGGGGCAGAGGGAAUUUCCGGUGGAGCGGUGAAAUGCGUAGAGAUGUGGAGGAACACCGAUGGCGUAGGCAGCCUCCUGGGCCAAUUCUGACGCUCAGGCACGAAAGCGUGGGGAUCAAACAGG